RNAcentral lists this ribosomal RNA (492 nucleotides) under uncultured bacterium. RNAcentral's name for it is "partial 16S ribosomal RNA". It matches the Rfam family "Bacterial small subunit ribosomal RNA", at positions 29 to 507 of the family's 1533-position model. The record is from RNAcentral.
AGUGAACGCUGGCGGUAGGCCUAACACAUGCAAGUCGAACGGCAGCACAGUAAGAGCUUGCUCUUACGGGUGGCGAGUGGCGGACGGGUGAGGAAUACAUCGGAAUCUACUUUUUCGUGGGGGAUAACGUAGGGAAACUUACGCUAAUACCGCAUACGACCUACGGGUGAAAGCAGGGGAUCUUCGGACCUUGCGCGAUUGAAUGAGCCGAUGUCGGAUUAGCUAGUUGGCGGGGUAAAGGCCCACCAAGGCGACGAUCCGUAGCUGGUCUGAGAGGAUGAACAGGCAAAAUGGAAAGUGGACAAGGUCCAGACUCCUACGGGAGGCAGCAGUGGGGAAUAUUGGACAAUGGGCGCAAGCCUGAUCCAGCCAUACCGCGUGGGUGAAGAAGGCCUUCGGGUUGUAAAGCCCUUUUGUUGGGAAAGAAAAGCAGCAGGUUAAUACCCCGCUGUUCUGACGGUACCCAAAGAAUAAGCACCGGCUAACUUCGUG